Molecule: long non-coding RNA, 679 nt
Organism: Lycium barbarum (goji berry)
Lineage: Eukaryota; Viridiplantae; Streptophyta; Magnoliopsida; Solanales; Solanaceae
Exons: 3
Source: RefSeq, a predicted model, not a curated record
AAGCUCCUAGAUACACCACUCACUAUCCAAAUAAUAGUUUAGCUUAAUUUAGGAAGGUUCAACCUCGAGUUAGGCUCGCCACUCACUAUCCAAAUAAUAGUUUAUCUUAAUUUAGGAAGGUUCAACCUCGAGUUAGGCUCGCCACUCACUAUCCAAAUAAUAGUUUAUCUUAAUUUAGGAAGGUUCAACCUCGAGUUAGGCUCGAAAAGUAUGCAUAAGCUCGUAGAUCGCAAAUUCCGCCAACGAGUCAUCCUGGGAAGAGUGGAAUCGUCAAGCUCGGGUGGAAUUUCGCGCAUGCAAACUCGGUUAAGGUGCGGGGAAAGGACCAGCAUUGGAAUAGGGAAUUCCUCCAGAUCACGUUUUUUGGAAGGCAAAGGUCCUGACAGAGUUACAGGAGGACCACCACAGUAGGGCUACAGCUUCAGCAAGGGUCAACAAGCAUCACUACUCCGGGCUUGCUAUAUUUUGAUAUAUCUAUGCUACCAUGAUACUUGUCCUCAUGUUAUGGGUAUGUCGGGGCCCUGUCCCGACGCUUAUAUUUUGUACGUAUACUCCUAGAGGCUUAUAGACAUUGUAGCAUGUGUAUGUGUUGUCUGUUGAUCUGGUCAGUCUUGGAUAGUCGAAGUAUGCUUUUGGACAACUUUGUUGGCCCUAUGACUUGCUGAUGUGAUUAUGUAUA